Molecule: transfer RNA, 66 nt
Filed under: Sphagniana ussuriana
Lineage: Eukaryota; Metazoa; Arthropoda; Insecta; Orthoptera; Tettigoniidae
Description: Metrioptera ussuriana tRNA-Ile
Source: RNAcentral
AAUGAAGUGCCUGACUUAAAAGGGUUACUGUGAUAGAGUAAACCAUGUAAUUAUUUACCUUCAUUA